GUGCUCAUUUCAGCAGCACAUAGACUAAAUUGGAAUUAUACAGAGAAGAUCAACAUGGCCCCUGGACAAUGAUGAUAUGAAAAUUCAUGAAGUGACCCACUACCAU
RNAcentral lists this small nuclear RNA (106 nucleotides) under Marmota marmota marmota (Alpine marmot). The record is from RNAcentral. RNAcentral also lists the same sequence under 1 other name. Lineage: Eukaryota; Metazoa; Chordata; Mammalia; Rodentia; Sciuridae.